CACAACUUCUGUUGAAGAAACUGGCAUGAGAGAUGUAACUGAAGGAACCCCUGCUCCUGGAACCUCAACCACAAAAUGCCCCGUAUCACUCCCACCAACUCCAGUUUGUCAUGGUCCACUGGGAGAAGAAAAACAUCCUGGAGACGUAUGGACUUCCAAUUGCCACAGAUGUACUUGUACUGACGCAAAUUCUGUUGACUGUAAAC
This is a long non-coding RNA of Suncus etruscus (white-toothed pygmy shrew), 206 nucleotides long. RefSeq lists it as uncharacterized. The transcript has 4 exons. Lineage: Eukaryota; Metazoa; Chordata; Mammalia; Eulipotyphla; Soricidae. The record is from RefSeq and is a predicted model, not a curated record.